This 429-nucleotide telomerase RNA is filed under the name Vicugna pacos (alpaca). RNAcentral describes it as "Vertebrate telomerase RNA (ENSVPAG00000016416.1)". It matches the Rfam family "Vertebrate telomerase RNA". Rfam says of the family: Telomerase is a ribonucleoprotein reverse transcriptase that synthesises telomeric DNA. Telomerase RNAs differ greatly in sequence and structure between vertebrates, ciliates and yeasts, but they share a 5' pseudoknot structure close to the template sequence. Lineage: Eukaryota; Metazoa; Chordata; Mammalia; Artiodactyla; Camelidae. The record is from RNAcentral.
UGGGCCCGGGGGCGGUGGCGGCCAUUUUAUAUCUAACCCUAAAUGAGACGGGCGUAGGCGCGGCGCUUUUGCUCCCCCGCGCGCUGUUUUUCUCGCUGACUUUCAGCGGGCGGAAAAAGCCUCGGCCUACCGCCAUCCACGAUUCAGUCUGAAGUAAACAAAAAAUGUCAGCCGCUGGCUCGCUCACUACUCCCGGGAACCUGCGGUGGCUCGCCCGCCCAGCCCCCGCGCCCGCCUAAGGCCGCGGUUUGCCCGGGGCUUCUCCGGAGGCGCCCAUUGCCGCCGCGAAGAGUUGGUCUCUGUCAGCCGCGGGUGUCUCGUGGGCCAAGGCGAGGCUCUGAUCGCAGGGAAAGGAAUGGAGCGGGUACCCGCGCGCGGUGCGCAUCUCUGAGCUGUGGGACGUGCACUCGGGACUCGGCUCAGACACUU